RNAcentral lists this long non-coding RNA (775 nucleotides) under Nicotiana tabacum (common tobacco). RNAcentral's name for it is "long non-coding RNA (NTAB_LNC016915)". The record is from RNAcentral. Lineage: Eukaryota; Viridiplantae; Streptophyta; Magnoliopsida; Solanales; Solanaceae.
AAAAACAAAAUAUUGUUCUUUCCAAAUAUGAAUGAAACAGAACGUUAUUUCCUUUCAAUUCUUAAAGAACCAAGGAAAUAUAAAGGAAUAUUUCUCUUUCUAAGUUUGCUGGCUACAAAUUUCAUGAGGGUAAAUAAUAACAAAGCAUUUCUAUGAUGAGCCAAGAACUCCAACAACUCGCUAAAGUCUGUCAAGAUAUUCCUGUCCGCAAAGGAAUAGCAAGACAUAUCUCGCUGAUGCCUCUAGAUCCAUUUCUGCUUGAAAAGCUUCCAAGACAAAUGCUACACUCUAAAAAAAGUCCAAGCAAAGAUCAUACGAGGCUACGUAAAUAGCAACGGGAUUUUGCGAUUCUAAGAGAGUACGGUGCAAUCUUCUCCAAAAGUAUUAUAUGGAGUAUUCCCUACCCCCCAGGUAUGUUAAGGCUAAGCUCUUCUUUCAUUUGGCAUGAUCUCGUCUUUACAUUCAUAUCCCGAAAUUUACGUAUAUUUUGCUAGUCUCGCAAAUUGCGUAUAUUUUUCUAGUGUUGUAAGUUAUAAUAUUCUCCUUAUCGGGACUUCAUAUUCAGUUGAGUAUUUCCUUCUUACAGUCAAAAGAGCAGAGAAGUUUAUAUAUAUAGUAUUAAAAGUAUUUUCAUUACCAUCGAGCUAUAAUUGAUGGGCAGGCCCCUAUUAGGCAACCUCUGAUCAGAUAGUAAGUUAUAUACCGAGCCUACUAUAGCCGAGCACUUAUGAGCGAGCCCAGUUGGUUGAUAUACAGAGCCUAGUAUGGCCGAGCG